This 480-nucleotide RNase P RNA is filed under the name Spirosoma profusum. RNAcentral's name for it is "Bacterial RNase P class A". It matches the Rfam family "Bacterial RNase P class A". Rfam says of the family: Ribonuclease P (RNase P) is a ubiquitous endoribonuclease, found in archaea, bacteria and eukarya as well as chloroplasts and mitochondria. Its best characterised activity is the generation of mature 5'-ends of tRNAs by cleaving the 5'-leader elements of precursor-tRNAs. Lineage: Bacteria; Pseudomonadati; Bacteroidota; Cytophagia; Cytophagales; Cytophagaceae. The record is from Rfam by way of RNAcentral.
AACUCAGGCUGGCUUAUCGCGUCCGAGUAAUCGGAUGAGGAAAGUCCGGGCAGCGCAGAGCAUCCUACUUCCUAACGGGAAGGCGGGCGGCUGGGAACGGCCGUUCGACAGACAGGGCAACAGAAAAUAUACCGCCAAAAUUUAACGAGUGAAAGGGCGAGAGAGAGAAAGAGCGAAAGGCUACCGUAGCCAACUCACUCUUUCACUCUUUCACUCUUUCGCCUUUAAACUUGGUAAGGGCGAACCGGUGGGGUAAGAGCCUACCGCUCGUUGGGCGACCAACGGGGCACGGUAACCCUUAGGGGCUGAAAGACCAAAUAAGCGUUGGAGCGUGGCUGCUCGCUGCCAGAAGCUUGCAAGAGCGGACCCAACGCGGGUAGGUCGAACGAGGUGUCGGGUGACCGGCAUCCCAGAUAAAUGAUAAGCCAUUCCACUGUAGUAGUGGGAGGACAGAACCCGGCUUAUAGGCCUGAGUUGACU